Transfer RNA from Parabacteroides distasonis ATCC 8503, 73 nucleotides. It matches the Rfam family "tRNA". Rfam says of the family: Transfer RNA (tRNA) molecules are approximately 80 nucleotides in length. Their secondary structure includes four short double-helical elements and three loops (D, anti-codon, and T loops). Further hydrogen bonds mediate the characteristic L-shaped molecular structure. tRNAs have two regions of fundamental functional importance: the anti-codon, which is responsible for specific mRNA codon recognition, and the 3' end, to which the tRNAs corresponding amino acid is attached (by aminoacyl-tRNA synthetases). tRNAs cope with the degeneracy of the genetic code in two manners: having more than one tRNA (with a specific anti-codon) for a particular amino acid; and 'wobble' base-pairing, i.e. permitting non-standard base-pairing at the 3rd anti-codon position. Lineage: Bacteria; Pseudomonadati; Bacteroidota; Bacteroidia; Bacteroidales; Tannerellaceae. The record is from Rfam.
GCCGAAAUAGCUCAGCUGGUAGAGCAACGCAUUCGUAAUGCGUAGGUCGCCGGUUCAAGUCCGGCUUUCGGCU